Molecule: ribosomal RNA, 464 nt
Filed under: uncultured bacterium
Lineage: Bacteria
Description: bacterial SSU rRNA
Rfam family: Bacterial small subunit ribosomal RNA
Source: RNAcentral
CUACGGAACUCCUACGGGAGGCAGCAGUGGGGAAUUUUGCACAAUGGGCGAAAGCCUGAUGCAGCGACGCCGCGUGAGGGAUGACGGCCUUCGGGUUGUAAACCUCUUUCAGCACGGAAGAAGCGAAAGUGAUGGUACGUGCAGAAGAAGCGCCGGCUAACUACGUGCCAGCAGCCGCGGUAAUACGUAGGGCGCAAGCGUUGUCCGGAAUUAUUGGGCGUAAAGAGCUCGUAGGCGGUUUGUCGCGUCUGCUGUGAAAGCCCGGGGCUUAACCCCGUGGUGUGCAGUGGGUACGGGCAGACUAGAGUGCAGUAGGGGAGACUGGAAUUCCUGGUGUAGCGGUGAAAUGCGCAGAUAUCAGGAGGAACACCGAUGGCGAAGGCAGGUCUCUGGGCUGUUACUGACGCUGAGGAGCGAAAGCAUGGGGAGCGAACAGGAUUAGAUACCCUUGUAGUCCUCUUCGA